Molecule: long non-coding RNA, 731 nt
Filed under: Medicago truncatula (barrel medic)
Lineage: Eukaryota; Viridiplantae; Streptophyta; Magnoliopsida; Fabales; Fabaceae
Description: long non-coding RNA (MTRU_LNC002506)
Source: RNAcentral
AUCAGAGGAAAUCAACACAAAAAGAAUUGAAAAGGGGUGAGAAAUCGAAAUAAUAGAAAAAGAAGAGAAAUCGAUAAAAAAAAAAAAAAAAAAAAAAAAGGGAAUUCAAUAAAAAGAGGAAGAGAAAUCGAUAGAAGAGAAAUUCAAAUCAUUAAAGAAAAAAAUGGAAUCUAUAAAAAAGAACAAGAACAAAAUCAAUUUAUAGAAAAAAGAAUUAAAAUCGAUAAUAACAGAAGAGGAAUUAAAAAAGAAAAAAAAAAUUGAUAAUAGUAUACAUGAUGGCAUGAACAAGAGGAAGAAGAAGAUGAAAGGAGAAUGGAUAAAUCAGACAUAGAAGGUAUAGAAGGUAAGGGUGAGGCUAAAAUUAGGAUUUCUCAUGUUAAUUAGAACCCAACAUAAACUUAGGGGUGUAUGUUUAACCUCUACAAACUAAGUUCCCAAGAAUGUAAGAUGGGAAAUAUUUACUCACAUGUUUGAUAUACAUAUACACAAAAACAUUCUAAGGAAUUAAUUAUACCCAGAAUUGUCCACAAGCCACUGUAUGUACAUGCGAAGAUAUUUGUGCAGGAUUGGCACCCGUACUACUAGAUGGAAUUGAACCCUGCGAAACUGGUAGGUUGGUUGUUGUGUCUGACGCACUGGCGGCAUUUGAUGUCGCGGAGGAUUGACUUGUAGGACGCGUUAUUUUAGGAAGUUGUUUUUUACUUCUCAAUUGCAUACACAACACAAAC